RNAcentral lists this ribosomal RNA (501 nucleotides) under uncultured bacterium. Its description in RNAcentral is "partial 16S ribosomal RNA". It matches the Rfam family "Bacterial small subunit ribosomal RNA", at positions 30 to 523 of the family's 1533-position model. The record is from RNAcentral.
AUUGAACGCUGGCGGCAGGCUUAACACAUGCAAGUCGAGCGGGGGAAGGUAGCUUGCUACCGGACCUAGCGGCGGACGGGGGAGUAAUGCUUAGGAAUCUGCCUAUUAGUGGGGGACAACAUCUCGAAAGGGAUGCUAAUACCGCAUACGUCCUACGGGAGAAAGCAGGGGAUCUUCGGACCUUGCGCUAAUAGAUGAGCAGAAGUCGUAUUAGCUAGUUGGUGGGGUAAAGGCCUACCAAGGCGACGAUCUGUAGCGGGUCUGAGAGGAUGAUCCGCCACACUGGGACUGAGACACGGCCCAGACUACUACGGGAGGCAGCAGUGGGAAAUAUUGGACAAUGGGGGGAACCCUGAUCCAGCCAUGCCGCGUGUGUGAAGAAGGCCUUAUGGUUGUAAAGCACUUUAAGCGAGGAGGAGGCUACUCUAGUUAAUACCCAGGGAUAGUGGACGUUACUCGCAGAAUAAGCACCGGCUAACUCCGUGCCAGCAGCCGCGGUAA